RNAcentral lists this ribosomal RNA (159 nucleotides) under fungal sp. TRN156. RNAcentral's name for it is "5.8S ribosomal RNA". It matches the Rfam family "5.8S ribosomal RNA". Rfam says of the family: 5.8S ribosomal RNA (5.8S rRNA) is a component of the large subunit of the eukaryotic ribosome. It is transcribed by RNA polymerase I as part of the 45S precursor that also contains 18S and 28S rRNA. RNAcentral also lists the same sequence under 2 other names. The record is from RNAcentral. Lineage: Eukaryota; Fungi.
AAAACUUUCAACAACGGAUCUCUUGGUUCUGGCAUCGAUGAAGAACGCAGCGAAAUGCGAUACGUAAUGUGAAUUGCAGAAUUCAGUGAAUCAUCGAAUCUUUGAACGCACAUUGCGCUCCCUGGUAUUCCGGGGAGCAUGCCUGUUCGAGCGUCAUUA